Molecule: ribosomal RNA, 1928 nt
Filed under: human gut metagenome
Description: bacterial LSU rRNA
Rfam family: Bacterial large subunit ribosomal RNA
Source: RNAcentral
UCAAGUGACUAAGUGUAUGUGGUGGAUGCCUUGGCGAUCACAGGCGAUGAAGGACGUAGUAGCUUGCGAUAAGCUGCGGGGAGCCGGCAAACGGGCUUUGAUCCGCAGAUUUCCGAAUGGGGGAACCCACCGGCUUUGCCGGUAUCGCACACUGAAUACAUAGGUGUGCGAGGCGAACGAAGCGAACUGAAACAUCUAAGUAGCUUCAGGAAAAGAAAUCAACCGAGAUUGCGAAAGUAGCGGCGAGCGAAAUCGCAGCAGCCCAGUGCUCCGAUAACACAAUUGACAGCGGAAAGGUCUGGAAAGGCCUGCUACAGAGGGUGAUAGCCCCGUACGUGAAAUCAAGAGUGUGGUACUAAGGAGCCGAUAAGUAGGGCGGGACACGUGACAUCCUGUCUGAAGAUGGGGGGACCAUCCUCCAAGGCUAAAUACUCGUGAUCGACCGAUAGUGAACCAGUACUGUGAAGGAAAGGCGAAAAGAACCCCGGGAGGGGAGUGAAACAGAACCUGAAACCGCAUACAUACAAACAGUAGGAGCUCCUUUUGUGGAGUGACUGCGUACCUUUUGCAUAAUGGGUCAGCGACUUACGUUUUGCGGCAAGCUUAACCGAGUAGGGGAGGCGCAGCGAAAGCGAGUUCGAACAGAGCGACAAGUCACAAGGCGUAGACCCGAAACCAGAUGAGCUAUCCAUGGCCAGGUUGAAGGUGUGGUAACACACACUGGAGGACCGAACCGACUAGUGUUGCAAAAUUAGCGGAUGAGCUGUGGAUAGGGGUGAAAGGCUUAACAAAUCUGGAGAUAGCUGGUUCUCCCCGAAAACUAUUGAGGUAGUGCCUCGUGUAUUGCUCCAGGGGGUAGAGCACUGUUAUGGCUAGGGGGACAUGGCGUCUUACCAAACCAUGGCAAACUCCGAAUACUUGGAAGUAUGAGCACGGGAGACAGAGCACCGGGUGCUAACGUCCGGACUCAAGAGGGAAACAACCCAGACCGCCGUUUAAGGUCCCUAAUAUUGACUAAGUGGAAAACGAAGUGUGAAGGCUAAGACAGUCAGGAAGUUGGCUUAGAAGCAGCCAUCCUUCAAAGAAAGCGUAAUAGCUCACUGAUCGAGUCCUCAUGCGCGGAAGAUGUAACGGGGCUAAGUCAAUAACCGAAAGCGCGGAUUUGCACGUAAGUGCAAGUGGUAGGGGAGCGUUCUGUAAGCCUGCGAAGGUGGUUCGAGAGGACUGCUGGAGGUAUCAGAAGUGCGAAUGCUGACAUGAGUAACGUUAAAGCGGGUGAAAAGCCCGCUCGCCGUAAGCCCAAGGUUUCCUGCUCUACGUUCAUCGGAGCAGGGUGAGUCGGCCCCUAAGGCCAGGCUGAGAAGCGUAGUCGAUGGGAAGCAGAUUAAUAUUUCUGCACCAUGUACAAGUGCGAUGAGGGGACGGAGCGUGAAUGAUCGGCCGGGUGUUGGAUGUCCCGGUUUGUGCGUGUAGAAGGCCGAUUGGCAAAUCCGUCGGCAAAUCUUCGAGACAAAGCAUCGAGGUUCUACGGAACCGAAGCGAUCGGAAGUGCUUCCAGGAAAAGCCUCUAAGCUUCAGCUUGUACGUGACCGUACCGUAAACCGACACUGGUGGGCGAGUUGAAUAUACUCAGGCGCUUGAGAGAACUCGGGAGAAGGAACUCGGCAAAUUGACACCGUAACUUCGGGAUAAGGUGUGCCUUUGUAGUGUGAAGAGAGAAACACUCCGAGCAUGAAGAGGCCUCAGAGAAUCGGUGGCUGCAACUGUUUAUUAAAAACACAGCACUCUGCAAAGACGAAAGUCGACGUAUAGGGUGUGAUGCCUGCCCGGUGCUGGAAGAUUAAGUGAUGGGGUGAGAGCUCCUGAUCGAAGUCCCAGUAAACGGCGGCCGUAACUAUAACGGUCCUAAGGUAGCGAAAUUCCUUGUC